Molecule: non-coding RNA, 122 nt
Organism: Gossypium hirsutum (cotton)
Lineage: Eukaryota; Viridiplantae; Streptophyta; Magnoliopsida; Malvales; Malvaceae
Source: Rfam
AAUAGGAGAAUGACAAAUCAGAUUUAUCCUCCUGAUUUUCAACUUUUUUCUCUUGAAAAAAUUAAAAUCCAAUUAAAAUUGCUAAAACUCAAGAAAAAAAUCUGAUUUGUCAUCCUUCUAUU